AAAACCACACCGGCCUUCCUUCCCUCCGCCUCAAUCUACGACAUAUCCGCAAGCUCAUCUAAUGGAGAUACCGACUGCAACUCCGAUGACGGAAACUUUGACUGAUCCUACAACAUAUCCUUGGAUAAUGGACUCGGGCUUGACCGCACACCUAUCCACCACAUCAGGACCUUGCAACUCGGAAAAUUCUUUUCCGAUGUGAUAGCAAGGGUGAUAUUUGCUCUCUUCCAGCUUCAUUCAAUAAAACACAUCCUCAAUCCACCGCUCUCCUUGAUUCAACACCUUCACUAUGGCACAAACGUCUAGCACACACUAAUAAUGCUAGCCUUGAUUCAAUUUUAUCUAAAUCUUUGGGUUUUUGUAAUAACAAUAAGCUCUCGCAGCCUUGUGAACCUUGCUAUUUGAGAAAACAAAUGAAGUUGCCUUUUGAUGAUUCCA
This is a non-coding RNA of Camelina sativa (false flax), 438 nucleotides long. Lineage: Eukaryota; Viridiplantae; Streptophyta; Magnoliopsida; Brassicales; Brassicaceae. The record is from RefSeq and is a predicted model, not a curated record.